Long non-coding RNA from Trifolium pratense (red clover), 711 nucleotides. RefSeq lists it as uncharacterized. Lineage: Eukaryota; Viridiplantae; Streptophyta; Magnoliopsida; Fabales; Fabaceae. The record is from RefSeq and is a predicted model, not a curated record. The transcript is spliced from 6 exons.
UGCGUUUGUGGAUUGUCAAGUUCAAUCUAAUACAUGGCCAGGAUAAUUCAUUUGAAAUGGUGGUUAUCGAUGAGAAGGGUUGCAAGAUUCAUGCUACUGUCCAGAGGCACCUGAUUCAUUUGCUUAAGGGUGCACCUGAUUCAUUACCGGUGUACAUGGAUUUAAUUCAGUGGUACACCUUCUAUAUGCAUAACUUGGAGGAGCUUAACAACUGUUGGAGUCCAAGGCUUCUUUCUUUGAAUAUCUGAUUUGGAAGGUAAGUGGUGAUCCGCAUUGAACAACAAACAACAGUUGAAGGGGAGAUUAAUUAAAGAGGAUGAAGGGAGCAUAAGUCAAACUAUGAGUGCAUAAUGUAAUCGGUUCCUAUCAAGUUUCAAUGAAGAAUUGGAAGUAGAAGGUUAUGAUCAAAUGGUGCACUUAUAGUAUGUAAGCUUUUUGAGAAGAUAGACACUGAUGCAUAUAUGAUGAGAACCUUGAGGGAUAAGGAGAAGAAAAAGGAAUAGAAUGGUAAAUUGAUGCAUAGUAUAUGGAGGAUCGUUUAAUGAAUAUAUAUAUGCUAUCAUACAUUUAAAACAACAUAUUAAUUUAAUAUGUUGACUCUAUGUUUGAAGAGAUUAUUGUGCAAUGACUUUAAUUUUGAAUUUGGAGUUAGACAAAAGUUAUGUAUUUUAGAGCUUUACGAAAGCUAUGAUUUAAAUUUUUUUCUUAUUA